This 372-nucleotide ribosomal RNA is filed under the name uncultured organism. RNAcentral describes it as "bacterial SSU rRNA". It matches the Rfam family "Bacterial small subunit ribosomal RNA", at positions 526 to 896 of the family's 1533-position model. The record is from RNAcentral.
CGUAGGGUGCGAGCGUUAAUCAGAAUUACUGGGCGUAAAGUGUGCGCAGGUGGCCGCGCAUGUCGAGUGUGAAAUCCCCGGGCUUAACUUGGGAAUUGCGCUCGAAACUACGUGGCUCGAGUGUGGCAGAGGAAGGUGGAAUUCCAGGUGUAGCGGUGAAAUGCGUAGAGAUCUGGAGGAACACCGAUGGCGAAGGCAGCCUUCUGGGCCAACACUGACACUCAUGCACGAAAGCGUGGGGAGCAAACAGGAUUAGAUACCCUGGUAGUCCACGCCCUAAACGAUGAUGACUAGUUGUUGGAGGAGUUAAAUCCUUUAGUAACGCAGCUAACGCGUGAAGUCAUCCGCCUGGGGAGUACGGUCGCAAGAUUA